RNAcentral lists this ribosomal RNA (637 nucleotides) under uncultured bacterium. RNAcentral's name for it is "bacterial SSU rRNA". It matches the Rfam family "Bacterial small subunit ribosomal RNA", at positions 607 to 1244 of the family's 1533-position model. The record is from RNAcentral.
GCUUAACCGGAGAAGUGCAUCGGAAACUGGGAGACUUGAGUGCAGAAGAGGACAGUGGAACUCCAUGUGUAGCGGUGGAAUGCGUAGAUAUAUGGAAGAACACCAGUGGCGAAGGCGGCUGUCUAGUCUGUAACUGACGCUGAGGCUCGAAAGCAUGGGUAGCGAACAGGAUUAGAUACCCUGGUAGUCCAUGCCGUAAACGAUGAGUGCUAAGUGUUGGAGGGUUUCCGCCCUUCAGUGCUGCAGCUAACGCAUUAAGCACUCCGCCUGGGGAGUACGACCGCAAGGUUGAAACUCAAAGGAAUUGACGGGGGCCCGCACAAGCGGUGGAGCAUGUGGUUUAAUUCGAAGCUACGCGAAGAACCUUACCAGGUCUUGACAUCUUCUGCCAAUCUUAGAGAUAAGACGUUCCCUUCGGGGACAGAAUGACAGGUGGUGCAUGGUUGUCGUCAGCUCGUGUCGUGAGAUGUUGGGUUAAGUCCCGCAACGAGCGCAACCCUUAAUAUCAGUUGCCAGCAUUCAGUUGGGCACUCUGGUGAGACUGCCGGUGACAAACCGGAGGAAGGUGGGGAUGACGUCAAAUCAUCAUGCCCCUUAUGACCUGGGCUACACACGUGCUACAAUGGACGGUACAACG